Neopsephotus bourkii (Bourke's parrot) is the source of this 1616-nucleotide long non-coding RNA. RefSeq lists it as uncharacterized. The record is from RefSeq and is a predicted model, not a curated record. The transcript has 2 exons. Lineage: Eukaryota; Metazoa; Chordata; Aves; Psittaciformes; Psittacidae.
GUAGUUCCUAGCAUUGCCUUUCCCUUUCGCCAUCCACAAGUCAUUCAGCAUUCAGCUCUUCCUAUCUCCUCAUAGGAGUUCAGUUACUACUUCUGCAUCCUCUCUCUUAAAGAGGUUUUGCUGUGAGACCUUGUUAGUGGGAGGAAGAGGGAAUUCUAAAAGCAUAAAUUAUAUAAAUUGAAGUGCCACAAUUUUUUUACUCAUCCAAAGGAGAAGGAGCAAGAAGGGGUAUGGUCAGAAGUGUUUUCAUGUAAUUUUUUAAGAGUUAAUAAAGGGUUUAGUGAAGUUGAUUGUUGAGGUUGAUAGGGUUUAGAUUUUUUAAAUACAUCUAUAUUAUUUUCUUUGACUGUGAAGUUUCAAUGAAACACAAUUUUAAUAUAUCAAAAAUUAAGUUAUAUGGAAUUAUAGCGUUAUGUUAAAUAGUCCUUGUUAAGCAAAUCUUUGUUUUGACCCAGAACAAGCCCGACAUUAUAGAGGGUCUUCUCCACUAGUUGAGUUCCUGUUGACUCAUUUUUACCAGUUCUUUAAGGCAGGGAUUUUUUGCUCUAUCGCUGUUGGUUGAUUGGAUGAGUAUUCUGAUAGGAGAGAGCGGAUUGAUUCUCAUUCUGUUGUAAACUCAGAAAUGGUGGCAAACUUCAUCUACCCUGAUGGUGUAGAGCACUGAAAGAUAUGCAGCUCUUAACCUAGCUGAUGACUUUCACUAGCCUAUUAAGGGAAGAGACAUCACAUCUGGCAGGAGAAAGGCUUCAGUGUGAAGUCAACAGUUAACCUGUUGAUCUGCCCCGUGACCUUCAGCAUGUGUGCUCUUGCCGAUCAGUCAGGGAUUGUACGUGCUGCCUCUUGCCCAGUUGGUAAUGAGGGAAAAUAGGAAGGAAUUGGCAAUGUUAUUCACAUGUCUGGGGUGAGACUGGAGACUUUAUAAAGUGUGAAGGGUAAGAUCAAAAAGAAUACAGCCGUGUGGUGGCACAGGGCAUAGAAAUUAGGGAAAUGCCAAGUUGAAUCAUCUUUCUACACAGUGUGUUUCCACUUGACUGAUGAUAAAGUUGAUGAGAUCUGUGAAGUGAUAGUACUGAAGAGGUCUGUCUUUUUUGUUCUUUUUCUUUGUUACUAUUUUUCAAAUCAUGCUUUAGAAUACAGUAGAUUUUCUCAUGUUUGAGUCUGGAAGCUAAUUUGCCUCUCAUAAGGAAUAUGAGAGUGCAAACAGCUUUUGGUGUUCUUAUUCAGACCUGGGUGCUGAAGAAUUCUGUUCUUGUUUUUCAGAUAUUGAAAAAUAUCACCUGGUAUGCUGAGCGUGUUUUAACAGAGAUCUCACUUGGGAGUCUCCUGAUAUUAGUUGUGAUAAGAACCAUCCAGUACAACAUGACACGGACAAGGGACAAAUACCUUCAUACAAAUUGUCUGGCAGCCUUAGCAAAUAUGUCAGCACAGUUCCGCUCACUUCAUCAGUAUGCGGCUCAGAGGAUCAUCAGGUAAAUAUAAAGACUCUCAAAACUCAUCUUUGAAACUCAGAAGUAGAGGAACUUGAAUUCUGUAUUCCCUAAUAGAUACCAAUGAAGUAAAUAGAUGAAAUGCUAACUGAAUUACUAAACAAUCCUAGAAUAAACCAAUUUGCUUUA